This 184-nucleotide non-coding RNA is filed under the name Salinispora tropica. Lineage: Bacteria; Bacillati; Actinomycetota; Actinomycetes; Micromonosporales; Micromonosporaceae. The record is from RNAcentral. RNAcentral also lists the same sequence under 1 other name.
AGUGUCCCGGGUCGAGUCGACCGCAUCCUGAGGGAUGCCAGGGAACUCCGGUGAGAUUCCGGGACUGGCGCGCAGCGGUGAGGGCGACGGCGACACGAUAACGCCACUGGAGAGCGCUUCUCUGGGAAGGCCGUGCCGCCGGUUGACCCCGAGUCCGAAGACCUGUCGGCUCACAUGCUCGUCG